Long non-coding RNA from Chelonia mydas (Green sea turtle), 2000 nucleotides. RefSeq lists it as uncharacterized. The transcript is spliced from 3 exons. The record is from RefSeq and is a predicted model, not a curated record. Lineage: Eukaryota; Metazoa; Chordata; Testudines; Cheloniidae.
AGGGGCUCUGCGCUGUGGCACAGAGUGCAUCCCUAGUGGCAAGGGCUCUGCUCCAAGGUCCUAUAUGCCAUUGAUCCCCCUCCACUGAAGAUUUUGCCAAGACACAAGGCAGAGGUUACUUUGUGAUGAGAGAGACAUAGAGGCAACUUUAUAGUAAGAGAUCAACCCACCAGCUCUUCAGUGGAGCUGCAGAGCUGAGCGAAUGCCAGCAAGGGCCAUCCUCCCAGCACGAAUUGGCUGAGGAGUACCAAUGUAGCAUCAAGUCACAGCAUUACAGGAGGCAUCACCUCUUUAGCCAUAAUGUCCUGUCUGAGUCUUCUGUAGCCUGGCCCUCCAGCUAGGUCACUUAAAAAUUCAAUCACCUUUCAGAGUAACAAAAGGGUCCAACCCUAAGUCCAAAUAAAUUUCUAAACUGAUCAUUCUUCAGCUCCUCUUAGGCUACACUGAAGUUCUCUGCUUCUUGGCCCCUAUUCCCAGGCCCUGCAGAGCUUUCUCAUAUGCUACUUCAUUUCAGUAGGUUUUCCCCCACCGCCUCGCUCAGGUACACCAUGGUGUAAUCUCUUCCAGCCUGACUUCCAAAGUUUCUUUCCACUCACUGUGGUCAGCUCUGUUUAAGUAGUCCUCUCGCUGAUCCUCUGCAGCAGGAGUCAGUCAUUCCAAUUAAGCUCCCAUCGCACCCAGCUGGGAUCACUAAUUAUGACUACUAAGUUGCUAGAUCACGGGCAAAACUGAGGGCUAGCUGCUAGGUCAUAGGAAAGACUCAGCCCAGCUUGCAUUGAAGAGCUAACCAGCCUGUGAUGGUAGUGAACUGAGUUAAAGUACAGUCAACCCUGAGGAGUAUCUAAAUGUAGCUGUUUUACAUGGCUUUAUCAAGGCUCUUGAAGCACUCAGACCUCUACAUCUUAUUUAGCAAGCUCCAAGUGAAAAAGCAUUUUUUGGAAACUUUAUUUUCAAGAGAGCAAAGCUCUGGGAGCCUCAAUUGGAGAAAAUGAAGUCCCAGGGAGAAACCAGUACAGGGCACCAAAAAGUCCUGCUUACGGAUUGCUUGCUGCUGUUGAUCAAAAUGGAGAGUAUGAAUUGGAAUGCCUCUUUUUCCAAACUGAAACAUGGAAGAGCAAAGAUAGAUAAUUAUUUCAGGGCCUGAUGUUGUCAGUAGGGCUGACAUUAACCUCACUGAUGAGCUGAACUCCACAGGUGGAAUCCUGGUUCCUUUGAAGGCAAGGGCCAAGAUAUCACCCCUGAACAUUAACACCUGAUUUCAGAGUAUCCUUUGCAAAGUGACAAAGAAGCAGGACUUUAAAAAGCACUGAAGAGGAGAUCCAUCCUAAGGCUUUGUCUACAUUAGCACUUUUGGCGGUAAAACUUUUGACAAAAGUGCUGGUAUGGACAGCGCUAUGUACCGUGGUGGGAGACACUCUCCUGACGACAUAGCUACCGCCGCUUGUUGAGGGUGGUUUAAUCAUGCUGGGAGGAGAGCUCUCUCCCGCCGGCAUUGAGCGAAUACACGGAAGACCCUACCGCAGCAAGCUGUAUUCUCCUUUGGGAAGUUGAACAGACCUUUACUGCAAUCAGACUGACUCAGUAACUUGCCCUGGUGCCCUCUCCCCUUCCCUAGAUAGAGCUCUCCUUCCUGUACAGAGCUCUUCCUAACCUUGGUUUGCCCUCAGCCUCCUUUGGAUUGGGCUCUUCGGGAUUUCUUCCCUUUAUUAUGCUGGAGAGCCAGAAGUCGUGCUGCAGGGCCCAGUCAUCUACCCCACACCCUCGCUAACCUCAUGUCUCACUCCUUUUCUCCCCCUCUUUUGCUCUGUCACCACCCCCCUCCUUGCCACUCUUAUACUCAUGGGCCCGCUACAGGCUCUGCUGGCCUGCCACCAGCUGCUAACAACACAUAGCUCCCCCAACUGGUGAUGUUUUUCCCUUUCAGCAAAGCCCUCAGUGUAAUACCAUGGUUGUAAUCAGGCUUCUAGAAUAUGAAUAGCACUAUCGUCUACAUGAAUAAA